GAUGAACGCUGGCGGCGUGCCUAAUACAUGCAAGUCGAGCGAACGGCGAGAAGCUUGCUUUUCUGAUGUUAGCGGCGGACGGGUGAGUAACACGUGGAUAACCUACCUAUAAGACUGGGAUAACUUCGGGAAACCGGAGCUAAUACCGGAUAAUAUUUUGAACCGCAUGGUUCAAAAGUGAAAGACGGUCUUGCUGUCACUUAUAGAUGGAUCCGCGCUGCAUUAGCUAGUUGGUAAGGUAACGGCUUACCAAGGCAACGAUGCAUAGCCGACCUGAGAGGGUGAUCGGCCACACUGGAACUGAGACACGGUCCAGACUCCUACGGGAGGCAGCAGUAGGGAAUCUUCCGCAAAGGGCGAAAGCCUGACGGAGCAACGCCGCGUGAGUGAUGAAGGUCUUCGGAUCGUAAAACUCUGUUAUUAGGGAAGAACAUAUGUGUAAGUAACUGUGCACAUCUUGACGGUACCUAAUCAGAAAGCCACGGCUAACUACGUG
Molecule: ribosomal RNA, 496 nt
Filed under: uncultured bacterium
Lineage: Bacteria
Description: partial 16S ribosomal RNA
Rfam family: Bacterial small subunit ribosomal RNA
Source: RNAcentral